This is a long non-coding RNA of Monopterus albus (swamp eel), 716 nucleotides long. RefSeq lists it as uncharacterized. The transcript has 12 exons. NCBI's taxonomy places the organism in Eukaryota, Metazoa, Chordata, Actinopteri, Synbranchiformes, Synbranchidae. The record is from RefSeq and is a predicted model, not a curated record.
CUAGUCGGACAUAAAACUGUGAGGGACCCGUUUCUUCUUCCACUUCCUUCUCUCAUCGGUUAGAGAUGGUGGAGAAAAUGCAGAAGCUGCUUUCUCUAGAGGUGUGGGAAGAGUGUGGCAAGACUCCUUUCAUGAGGUUGCUGUGCUGCCCUUUAACUUCUCAAAGCAGCUGGAUGGUGCCCUGUGGUGGCAGUGAAACACCGACUGAGGAAGGGAGUGAUGCCACCUCAACAUGGCUCUCUUGACUGACUACUUGGAGACUGCCAAAUUGAAGCCUUAUGAUGACUGAGGGCCAUGAUUCUCCUACAUUAAGGUACCUGGCUUUAGACAGUUAAGAAGAUGGCAGCAGUCAUCUCUCCAACAAAAGCCUACCCAGGUCAACAUUGGUGCUGAACAGAGGCAGAGGAGGUCACUGGGACUGCCUGAUCUUGUCCCAGAGUUAAGGCUUGCUGUCUGAGUGCUGGGGCCAACGGCUGAUGCCUGCAACAAUGCUACAAACUCCAGGUUGAACUUGGGUGGCAAGAUGAAGAUCAUUGGCUUUCUGCUCUGGAGUGUUUUGACUCCAGGUUGAACUUGGGUGGCAAGAUGAAGAUCAUUGGCUUUCUUAUCUGGAUUGCUGCAGUUUGUUUCUGUGGAUGCUUCAAAGAACCUGUGAAAAUGUUUGUUUCCAUGGCACUUGGCUUGCAGUGACAAAAUAAAUGUAUCCAGGAAGCUGA